UCUUCAUCUUCUAUUAUGACCACAAAAGAGAACUCUCCCAUUUCUAGAAAAACACGAGCUGCCCUCUGUCAAAGCUUGUAAUUGAAUCUUACAGCUCCUAUAUCCUCAAAUUCAUCAAUACCUUCACUUAAUGGUGAUCUGGGUAUGAAGUCGAGUGGAUCCUCACGACCACGAAAGAAUGGAAAACAUGGUUGGGUAUCUCUUGAUUUUGAGCAAAUCCCACUCUAUCAGAGUUAUACGAUGACAGGGUAUUAUCCUUGAACUGCAGGAGUGGGACAACCAAGCAAUGGCUUCAAAAGGGAUUGGAGAAGACAAUGACGAAGGCAAACAGAAAAGUAUUACCAGACGCUCAUUUGCAUUUGCGGAAGCAUUAAGUCAAGCCACUGAAAAGAAUGCCGCAACAUUCAUGAAUAGGGUAACACAACGAGUCCCGAAUGAAGGUGGGGCACGUCAACUUGGCCCAAGUUUCCAUAGUGAUAUACCGUCCGAUGUGGAGAAAGUUUUGAGCAAGCAUGAAGUAGAUGAUUCUAGUUACUUCAGCGAAGGAAAAGCAUGGGGAGCAUGGGGCACAAAACCUGGAAAAUGGCCUAGUGAAACGGCCAAUUGGAUUUCGUGGGUCGAACGAGUCAAGAAGCGAUUUGGGGACGUAUGGAAACGACUUGGGAUCUAUGACGCCAUCAAGCUUUCCACCAUUACUAUUUCUUGUGACCGCACCUUGCUGGCUGCCGUUAUGUGUUUUUGGAGUUCUCAAACAAACUCUCUGGAGCUUCAGUUUGGUGCACUUAGUCCGACCUUGAUUAAUAUAGCGGCCAUUAUAGGCUUGCCUCCACAUGGGCAAGUGGUGGACAUUGUAUUUGCAAAAAGAAAGUUUGACAUUGAUCUUGGUUGCGAGCUAAGAGAUCGAAGUAAGGGCAGACCAUCCGUUGCUAAUUUUAAUACAUGGAUUGAGGUGUUUAACAACGGCUUGGUGAGUAAGUCACUCGGUGGGGACGACAGCCUAGAAGAGAAAGAGGAAAGCCAACAGGAGACAAUAGAAGUGACUCGUGUAGAGCAUGCUGCGUGUCUUGCCUUUUAGAUAUGCAAGUUCUUAGUGUGCACAACUUCGAGAAAAGUGAAUGUGGAGUACUACAAGCUGGCGGAAGCAUUAGCAAGUAAAGAAGUGCAAGAGAGCGAUCAACCAUUAGCUCUUGGUCCAUUUGUGCUUGCCCACCUGUACAGAUAUCUACACCAUUGUGUGACAGAAGGAUUGAAUCCAAAUUGGUCUGGGCCAUUGUGGAUUUUUCAGUUGUGACUUCACACUUAUUUUCCUGUUUUCAGACAGCCAGGUUUAGCAUUGGCCGCAGACAGUACUCUUGGACAACAAUUGGCGUCUCUUGAUGUACUCUUUCAUUCGGCAGAAGAGUGUUUUGAGAUUUUGUUCAAGUGUCUAGAAUUUUCUGCAGAACAGUAUGCCGUUUGUUUCAGCAGGAAGUAUCCACCCUACCUUGCCGUGGAUAUCAGCCAACAUGCCUCAGAAAGCGAAACGAAAUGGGAGACUGCGUGUUUAGCUUGGAAGAGUGCAAUAGGUAUGAGGGAUCUCUUCUGGGGUGCCUUGUCUGGUAAGACACUCAAGUAUGGAGUGGAGUUAUAUUCACCAUCAUAUUUCAGUCGUCAGUUGGGAUAUUAUCAAGGUAUACCUGCUCCGGUUCCAGAAUCGUCAAACCGAUAUAGUUCAUUGCGAGCAAUUUUCUCCAACAAGGACGACAUUGAGCAGAAUAAUAAGGCAUUUCGGUACAACAUGAGCUUUGACAUGAAGACAAGAGUGGCAACUAGCAAGAAUUCGGCUCAGUUCAGAGAGUGGUGGGUGAAAUGAGUAGGGAGCCACUUUAAAGAUGGGUUGAUAGCAGCUAGGAGAUCAGCUUUUGCAGGAAAUCCAUGGGCACAAGAAAAGCCGAAAGCAGCAAAGCGUGGUAAGACAACAAGCAAAGUUGCUAAAGCAAUCCCAACUAUAAGUAAGUAGUUGCCCCCCCCCCCUACCUUGCCGUGGAUAUCAGCCAACAUGCCUCAGAAAGCGAAACGAAAUGGGAGACUGCGUGUUUAGCUUGGAAGAGUGCAAUAGGUAUGAGGGAUCUCUUCUGGGGUGCCUUGUCUGGUAAGACACUCAAGUGUGGAGUGGAGUUAUAUUCACCAUCAUAUUUCAGUCGUCAGUUGGGAUAUUAUCAAGGUAUACCUGCUCCGGUUCCAGAAUCGUCAAACCGAUAUAGUUCAUUGCGAGCAAUUUUCUCCAACAAGGACGACAUUGAGCAGAAUAAUAAGGCAUUUCGGUACAACAUGAGCUUUGACAUGAAGACAAGAGUGGCAACUAGCAAGAAUUCGGCUCAGUUCAGAGAGUGGUGGGUGAAAUGAGUAGGGAGCCACUUUAAAGAUGGGUUGAUAGCAGCUAGGAGAUCAGCUUUUGCAGGAAAUCCAUGGGCACAAGAAAAGCCGAAAGCAGCAAAGCGUGGUAAGACAACAAGCAAAGUUGCUAAAGCAAUCCCAACUAUAAGUAAGUAGUUGCCCCCCCCCCCCCUACCUUGCCGUGGAUAUCAGCCAACAUGCCUCAGAAAGCGAAACGAAAUGGGAGACUGCGUGUUUAGCUUGGAAGAGUGCAAUAGGUAUGAGGGAUCUCUUCUGGGGUGCCUUGUCUGGUAAGACACUCAAGUGUGGAGUGGAGUUAUAUUCACCAUCAUAUUUCAGUCGUCAGUUGGGAUAUUAUCAAGGUAUACCUGCUCCGGUUCCAGAAUCGUCAAACCGAUAUAGUUCAUUGCGAGCAAUUUUCUCCAACAAGGACGACAUUGAGCAGAAUAAUAAGGCAUUUCGGUACAACAUGAGCUUUGACAUGAAGACAAGAGUGGCAACUAGCAAGAAUUCGGCUCAGUUCAGAGAGUGGUGGGUGAAAUGAGUAGGGAGCCACUUUAAAGAUGGGUUGAUAGCAGCUAGGAGAUCAGCUUUUGCAGGAAAUCCAUGGGCACAAGAAAAGCCGAAAGCAGCAAAGCGUGGUAAGACAACAAGCAAAGUUGCUAAAGCAAUCCCAACUAUAAGUAAGUAGUUGCCCCCCCCCCCUACCUUGCCGUGGAUAUCAGCCAACAUGCCUCAGAAAGCGAAACGAAAUGGGAGACUGCGUGUUUAGCUUGGAAGAGUGCAAUAGGUAUGAGGGAUCUCUUCUGGGGUGCCUUGUCUGGUAAGACACUCAAGUGUGGAGUGGAGUUAUAUUCACCAUCAUAUUUCAGUCGUCAGUUGGGAUAUUAUCAAGGUAUACCUGCUCCGGUUCCAGAAUCGUCAAACCGAUAUAGUUCAUUGCGAGCAAUUUUCUCCAACAAGGACGACAUUGAGCAGAAUAAUAAGGCAUUUCGGUACAACAUGAGCUUUGACAUGAAGACAAGAGUGGCAACUAGCAAGAAUUCGGCUCAGUUCAGAGAGUGGUGGGUGAAAUGAGUAGGGAGCCACUUUAAAGAUGGGUUGAUAGCAGCUAGGAGAUCAGCUUUUGCAGGAAAUCCAUGGGCACAAGAAAAGCCGAAAGCAGCAAAGCGUGGUAAGACAACAAGCAAAGUUGCUAAAGCAAUCCCAACUAUAAGUAAGUAGUUGCCCCCCCCCCCCUACCUUGCCGUGGAUAUCAGCCAACAUGCCUCAGAAAGCGAAACGAAAUGGGAGACUGCGUGUUUAGCUUGGAAGAGUGCAAUAGGUAUGAGGGAUCUCUUCUGGGGUGCCUUGUCUGGUAAGACACUCAAGUGUGGAGUGGAGUUAUAUUCACCAUCAUAUUUCAGUCGUCAGUUGGGAUAUUAUCAAGGUAUACCUGCUCCGGUUCCAGAAUCGUCAAACCGAUAUAGUUCAUUGCGAGCAAUUUUCUCCAACAAGGACGACAUUGAGCAGAAUAAUAAGGCAUUUCGGUACAACAUGAGCUUUGACAUGAAGACAAGAGUGGCAACUAGCAAGAAUUCGGCUCAGUUCAGAGAGUGGUGGUUGAAAUGAGUAGGGAGCCACUUUAAAGAUGGGUUGAUAGCAGCUAGGAGAUCAGCUUUUGCAGGAAAUCCAUGGGCACAAGAAAAGCCGAAAGCAGCAAAGCGUGGUAAGACAACAAGCAAAGUUGCUAAAGCAAUCCCAACUAUAAGUAAGUAGUUGCCCCCCCCCCUACCUUGCCGUGGAUAUCAGCCAACAUGCCUCAGAAAGCGAAACGAAAUGGGAGACUGCGUGUUUAGCUUGGAAGAGUGCAAUAGGUAUGAGGGAUCUCUUCUGGGGUGCCUUGUCUGGUAAGACACUCAAGUGUGGAGUGGAGUUAUAUUCACCAUCAUAUUUCAGUCGUCAGUUGGGAUAUUAUCAAGGUAUACCUGCUCCGGUUCCAGAAUCGUCAAACCGAUAUAGUUCAUUGCGAGCAAUUUUCUCCAACAAGGACGACAUUGAGCAGAAUAAUAAGGCAUUUCGGUACAACAUGAGCUUUGACAUGAAGACAAGAGUGGCAACUAGCAAGAAUUCGGCUCAGUUCAGAGAGUGGUGGGUGAAAUGAGUAGGGAGCCACUUUAAAGAUGGGUUGAUAGCAGCUAGGAGAUCAGCUUUUGCAGGAAAUCCAUGGGCACAAGAAAAGCCGAAAGCAGCAAAGCGUGGUAAGACAACAAGCAAAGUUGCUAAAGCAAUCCCAACUAUAAGUAAGUAGUUGCCCCCCCCCCCCCCUACCUUGCCGUGGAUAUCAGCCAACAUGCCUCAGAAAGCGAAACGAAAUGGGAGACUGCGUGUUUAGCUUGGAAGAGUGCAAUAGGUAUGAGGGAUCUCUUCUGGGGUGCCUUGUCUGGUAAGACACUCAAGUGUGGAGUGGAGUUAUAUUCACCAUCAUAUUUCAGUCGUCAGUUGGGAUAUUAUCAAGGUAUACCUGCUCCGGUUCCAGAAUCGUCAAACCGAUAUAGUUCAUUGCGAGCAAUUUUCUCCAACAAGGACGACAUUGAGCAGAAUAAUAAGGCAUUUCGGUACAACAUGAGCUUUGACAUGAAGACAAGAGUGGCAACUAGCAAGAAUUCGGCUCAGUUCAGAGAGUGGUGGGUGAAAUGAGUAGGGAGCCACUUUAAAGAUGGGUUGAUAGCAGCUAGGAGAUCAGCUUUUGCAGGAAAUCCAUGGGCACAAGAAAAGCCGAAAGCAGCAAAGCGUGGUAAGACAACAAGCAAAGUUGCUAAAGCAAUCCCAACUAUAAGUGGCCAAGAGUCUUUGAAGAAGUGUACUAAAGGUGGCACAAAGAGAAAGGCCACCCAUAGUGCGACCACUGAGGCGGCCAAAGAUGGUGCCACCAUGUCUUCAACAUCUCAAUCUCCUCCAGCUAAAUAAUCGGAAAAACAAGACGAGGAAUCCUCUGAAAGUGAAGAAGAAUUGUGCGUGGCCAAACGAAGCCGUCCAAAGAUACUCAAGGUAUGACAAGUGGGCAAGCACAAAUGGACAAAGAGCUAACGGCUGAUCGCUCUCUUACACUUCUUUACUUGCUAAUGCUUCAGCCAACUUGUUGUACUCCACAUUCUCUUUUUUCGAAGUUGUGCACACUAAGAACUUGCAUAUCCAAAAGGCAAGAAAUGCAGCAU
Long non-coding RNA from Rosa chinensis, 5573 nucleotides. RefSeq lists it as uncharacterized. NCBI's taxonomy places the organism in Eukaryota, Viridiplantae, Streptophyta, Magnoliopsida, Rosales, Rosaceae. The transcript is spliced from 5 exons. The record is from RefSeq and is a predicted model, not a curated record.